Molecule: ribosomal RNA, 112 nt
Filed under: Caerostris darwini
Lineage: Eukaryota; Metazoa; Arthropoda; Arachnida; Araneae; Araneidae
Source: RNAcentral
AACGGCCGUACCAUGCUGAAUAUACCGGUUCUCGUGAGAUCACCGAAGUCAAGCAUCAUUGGGCGCGGUCAGUACUUGGGUGGGUGACCACCUGGGAACACUGCGUGUCGUU